CCAAGGUAUGGCCAAGCAUGGCCAUGGGAGAUUUGAUCAAGAAAAAUUAUUUCUUUCAAGCUUUUAUACUAAGUGGAAGGUUCUCUACAACGUAGAGUAUUCGUUGGAACAAGUGAAUCAUUCGUUUCGCAAAAAUGAGGUUCUAGCCGGGAAAAGGAACUAGUGCUAAGAUUAACAAGUUGGACGAAUAAGCGUAGCUAGUAAGGCGCGGCGCAGGUACACCCAGAUGAGCUGAGGCCCUAAUAGAAGAUGUUCCAGCGAAGUUGGCGAGCUCCAGUUAGCCCGGGAGUGUAGCCGAGUCAGUGUAUAUGUGCCAUGGUUUCCGAUUGCAGUUAGAGACUUUGCAGACAGAGUCGUGGGUAUAGAGCGUCAGCUUUGUAGACGGCUUCGCCUGUCAAUAUGUUAUUACGUUUCAUGUCACGCGUUCCAUAUGAUGAUACACUCUCCAAAAAAAAAAAAAUU
Long non-coding RNA from Lycium barbarum (goji berry), 462 nucleotides. RefSeq lists it as uncharacterized. NCBI's taxonomy places the organism in Eukaryota, Viridiplantae, Streptophyta, Magnoliopsida, Solanales, Solanaceae. The transcript has 3 exons. The record is from RefSeq and is a predicted model, not a curated record.